AUCUGGUUGAUCCUGCCAGUAGUCAUACGUUGGUUUCAAAGAUUAAGCCAUGCAUGUGUAAGUAUAAAUAAUUUUACUUUGAAACUGCGAAUGGCUCAUUAUAUCAGUUAUAGUUUAUUAGAAAUAUUUUACUACUUGGAUAACCGUAGUAAUUCUAGGGCUAAUACAUGAGUAAAACCUCAACUUCGGAAGAGGUGUGUUUAUUAGUAUGAAAACCAUAUAUCUUCGGAUAUAAUAGUGAGUAAUAAUAACCUUUCAUAUCGUAUGUCGUAAGAUAACGAUAGUUCUUUCAAGUUUCUGCCCUAUCAGCUUUCGAUGGUAGUAUAUGGGACUACCAUGGCAGUAACGGGUAACGAAGAAUUUGGGUUCGAUUUCGGAGAGGGAGCCUGAGAGAUGGCUACCACAUCCAAGGAAGGCAGCAGGCGCGUAAAUUACCCAAUCCUGACAUAGGGAGGUAGUGACAAUAAAUCACAAUGCGGAACUUUUAGUUUUGCAAUUGGAUUGAGAACAAUGUACAAAUGUUAUCGAUAAACAAUUGGAGGGCAAGUCUGGUGCCAGCAGCCGCGGGAAUUCCAGCUCCAAUAACGUAUAUUAACGUUGUUGCAGUUAAAAAGCUC
RNAcentral lists this ribosomal RNA (617 nucleotides) under Blastocystis sp. RNAcentral's name for it is "SSU rRNA". It matches the Rfam family "Eukaryotic small subunit ribosomal RNA", at positions 1 to 629 of the family's 1831-position model. The record is from RNAcentral. Lineage: Eukaryota; Bigyra; Opalinata; Blastocystidae.